This 333-nucleotide ribosomal RNA is filed under the name uncultured bacterium. RNAcentral's name for it is "bacterial SSU rRNA". It matches the Rfam family "Bacterial small subunit ribosomal RNA", at positions 8 to 334 of the family's 1533-position model. The record is from RNAcentral.
AGGGUUUGAUUAUGGCUCAGGAUGAACGCUAGCUACAGGCUUAACACAUGCAAGUCGAGGGGCAGCAUGAACUUAGCUUGCUAAGUUUGAUGGCGACCGGCGCACGGGUGAGUAACGCGUAUCCAACCUACCCUUGUCCAUCGGAUAACCCGUCGAAAGGCGGCCUAACACGAUAUGCGGUUCACAGCAGGCAUCUAACGUGAACGAAAUGUGAAGGAGAAGGAUGGGGAUGCGUCUGAUUAGCUUGUUGGCGGGGUAACGGCCCACCAAGGCUACGAUCAGUAGGGGUUCUGAGAGGAAGGUCCCCCACAUUGGAACUGAGACACGGUCCAA